AAGCGGAGGAAAAGAAACCAACAGGGAUUGCCUCAGUAACGGCGAGUGAAGCGGCAAGAGCUCAACUUUGGAAUCGCUCCGGCGAGUUGUAGUCUGGAGGCCGCCAGCCCCGGCUCCGUGUGCGCGGCUAAGUCCUCUGGAACGAGGCGCCAGCGAGGGUGACAGCCCCGUGGCCGCAAGCAGCAGGAGUCGCUUUGGCGAGCCGACGAGUCGAGUUGUUUGGGAAUGCAGCUCUAAGUGGGUGGUAAAUUCCAUCUAAAGCUAAAUACCGGCGAGAGACCGAUAGCGAACAAGUACAGUAAUGGAAAGAUGAAAAGCACUUUGAAAAGAGAGUGAAACAGUACGUGAAAUUGUUGAAAGGGAAGGGCUUGCAGGUAGACUACUGUCAGCAUCGGGUGGAGGGGAGCGAUAACGACCUUUUAAUGUAGCAACGCGCUCUGCGGGUUGUAUUAUAGAAUUGGUUAAUAGCUCCACCCCCGCCCGAGGAUCGCCUAUUGAAGGAUGCUGGCGCAAUGGCUGCAAGCCACCCGUCUUGAA
This 537-nucleotide ribosomal RNA is filed under the name Candidozyma heveicola. RNAcentral's name for it is "eukaryotic LSU rRNA". It matches the Rfam family "Eukaryotic large subunit ribosomal RNA", at positions 48 to 658 of the family's 3401-position model. The record is from RNAcentral. Lineage: Eukaryota; Fungi; Ascomycota; Pichiomycetes; Serinales; Metschnikowiaceae.